GACGAACGCUGGCGGCGUGCCUAAUACAUGCAAGUCGAACGAACCGCGACUAGGUGCUUGCACUUGGUCAAGGUGAGUGGCGAACGGGUGAGUAACACGUGGGUAACCUACCUCAUAGUGGGGGGUAACAGUCGGAAACGACUGCUAAUACCGCAUAGGACAUAGGAUCACAUGAUCCAGUGAGGAAAGGUGGCGCAAGCUAUCGCUAAGAGAUGGACCCGCGGUGCAUUAGCUAGUUGGUAGGGUAAAGGCCUACCAAGGCGAUGAUGCAUAGCCGACCUGAGAGGGUGAUCGGCCACAUUGGGACUGAGACACGGCCCAAACUCCUACGGGAGGCAGCAGUAGGGAAUCUUCCGCAAUGGACGCAAGUCUGACGGAGCAACGCCGCGUGAGUGAAGAAGGUCUUCGGAUCGUAAAGCUCUGUUGUUAGAGAAGAACAGCGCAUAGAGUAACUGUUAUGCGUGUGACGGUAUCUAACCAGAAAGCCACGGCUAACUACGU
This 501-nucleotide ribosomal RNA is filed under the name uncultured bacterium. RNAcentral's name for it is "partial 16S ribosomal RNA". It matches the Rfam family "Bacterial small subunit ribosomal RNA", at positions 28 to 506 of the family's 1533-position model. The record is from RNAcentral.